GCCUCAAUCUUGUAAAUUAGGUUUCCUUUCUCAACGGUUUCGUACAUUUCAAAAUACUCUGCUGCACAACGUGCAGCAACUACAUUGUAUGCAUUGAGAGUGACAGUGAUACCAUAACAAAACUUAGCACAUACUUCAAAUUAAGGCAGCAGGUCCACCAGGCAUAUCAUGGAUAACGAUUUCAUCAUUGUUUUCCUCGUUUGUCAUGGAAAGUACCAGUUGCUGCAAUUGGGCACUCUUGGAUAAUAGGGGGAACUACAGAAAUGAGUUAUGGUAUUAACAACUAAGAAAUAAAAAAUUGCUCCAGCAGAUAGGAAAACAUAAUUAAGGACAUACUUCAAAUUAAGGCAGCAGGUCCACCAGGCAUAUCAUGGAUAACGAUUUCAUCAUUGUUUUCCUCGUUUGUCAUGGAAAGUACCAGUUGCUGCAAUUGGGCACUCUUGGAUAAUAGGGG
RNAcentral lists this long non-coding RNA (454 nucleotides) under Panax ginseng (ginseng). Its description in RNAcentral is "long non-coding RNA (PGIN_LNC006110)". Lineage: Eukaryota; Viridiplantae; Streptophyta; Magnoliopsida; Apiales; Araliaceae. The record is from RNAcentral.